RNAcentral lists this ribosomal RNA (433 nucleotides) under uncultured bacterium. RNAcentral describes it as "partial 16S ribosomal RNA". It matches the Rfam family "Bacterial small subunit ribosomal RNA", at positions 29 to 507 of the family's 1533-position model. The record is from RNAcentral.
AACGAACGCUGGCGGCAUGCCUAACACAUGCAAGUCGAACGAGACCUUCGGGUCUAGUGGCGCACGGGUGCGUAACGCGUGGGAAUCUACCCUCAGGUUCGGAAUAACUCAGAGAAAUUUGAGCUAAUACCGGAUGAUGACUUAAGUCCAAAGAUUUAUCGCCUGAGGAUGAGCCCGCUUAGGAUUAGGUAGUUGGUGAGGUAAAGGCUCACCAAGCCGACGAUCCUUAGCUGGUCUGAGAGGAUGAUCAGCCACACUGGGACUGAGACACGGCCCAGACUCCUACGGGAGGCAGCAGUGGGGAAUAUUGGACAAUGGGCGAAAGCCUGAUCCAGCAAUGCCGCGUGAGUGAUGAAGGCCUUAGGGUUGUAAAGCUCUUUUACCCGGGAUGAUAAUGACAGUACCGGGAGAAUAAGCUCCGGCUAACUCCGUG